This 434-nucleotide ribosomal RNA is filed under the name Aurospio sp. NHM 2247. RNAcentral's name for it is "partial large subunit ribosomal RNA". It matches the Rfam family "Bacterial large subunit ribosomal RNA", at positions 1953 to 2605 of the family's 2925-position model. The record is from RNAcentral. Lineage: Eukaryota; Metazoa; Annelida; Polychaeta; Spionida; Spionidae.
AAGGUAGCAUAAUCAUUUGCCUUUUAAUUGGAGGCUUGUAUGAACGGACACACGAGAGCUCAUCUUUUCUCUGUGAGACAUAAAAAUUAUCCUUCAAGUGAAGAGACUUGAAUAAUAUAAAAAGACGAAAAGACCCUGUGGAGCUUUACUUAAAUUAUUAGCAAACAAAGUAAAGAAAUCCUUUCUCUAUAAAAAAAAGUUUAGUUGGGGCGACUGAGGAGCACACAUUAACCUCCUCCUAAAAAAAGAUAUUAAAUCUCCAAAAAAUCCAUACACAUGAAUAAAAAUCUAGCUACCCCAGGGAUAACAGGCUAAUCCUCCUCGAGAGCCCAAAUUGACAGGAGGGCUUGGCACCUCGAUGUUGGCUUAAGGUUCCCUCUAAGUGCAGCAGCUUAGAUAGUAGGUUUGUUCAACCUUUAAAACCUUACGUGAUC